Molecule: ribosomal RNA, 459 nt
Filed under: uncultured bacterium
Lineage: Bacteria
Description: bacterial SSU rRNA
Rfam family: Bacterial small subunit ribosomal RNA
Source: RNAcentral
AACGAACGCUGGCGGCAGGCCUAACACAUGCAAGUCGAACGCCGUAGCAAUACGGAGUGGCAGACGGGUGAGUAACGCGUGGGAACCUUCCCAAUGGUACGGAAUAGCUCAGGGAAACUUGGGGUAAUACCGUAUAAGCCCGAGAGGGGAAAGAUUUAUCGCCAUUGGAUGGGCCCGCGUAGGAUUAGCUAGUUGGUGAGGUAACGGCUCACCAAGGCGACGAUCCUUAGCUGGUCUGAGAGGACGACCAGCCACACUGGGACUGAGACACGGCCCAGACUCCUACGGGAGGCAGCAGUGGGGAAUAUUGGACAAUGGGCGCAAGCCUGAUCCAGCCAUGCCGCGUGAGUGAUGAAGGCCUUAGGGUUGUAAAGCUCUUUUGGCGGGGACGAUAAUGACGGUACCCGCAGAAUAAGCCCGGCUAACUUCGUGCCAGCAGCCGCGGUAAAGUCCUGUACU